This 493-nucleotide ribosomal RNA is filed under the name uncultured bacterium. Its description in RNAcentral is "partial 16S ribosomal RNA". It matches the Rfam family "Bacterial small subunit ribosomal RNA", at positions 30 to 523 of the family's 1533-position model. The record is from RNAcentral.
AUUGAACGCUGGCGGCAUGCUUUACACAUGCAAGUCGAACGGUAACAGGUUAAGCUGACGAGUGGCGAACGGGUGAGUAAUGCAUCGGAACGUGCCCGAUCGUGGGGGAUAACGCAGCGAAAGCUGCGCUAAUACCGCAUACGAUCUGAGGAUGAAAACGGGGGACCGUAAGGCCUCGCGCGAUCGGAGCGGCCGAUGUCAGAUUAGGUAGUUGGUGGGGUAAAGGCCCACCAAGCCGACGAUCUGUAGCUGGUCUGAGAGGACGACCAGCCACACUGGGACUGAGACACGGCCCAGACUCCUACGGGAGGCAGCAGUGGGGAAUUUUGGACAAUGGGCGAAAGCCUGAUCUAGCAAUGCCGCGUGCAGGAAGAAGGCCUUCGGGUUGUAAACUGCUUUUGUACGGAGCGAAAAGGUCCUUUCUAAUACAAGGGGCUCAUGACGGUACCGUAAGAAUAAGCACCGGCUAACUACGUGCCAGCAGCCGCAGUAA